CUGCAGAGAAUAUAAUCUACUCUAGCUAGUUUAAGCAGAAAAGAAUCUAUUUCAAUGGCCUCAGAACUGAUGGUUGAAUAACUAACUGGAUUUCGGCUAAGUUUCCAGGAGUCAUUUCCAAAGAACACAGCGCAAAACUAGGUUACCAGAGAGCUGACGAUACUGAUAUAAUCAGACAUGAAGAAAGAAGACAUAGAGUAUAUUAAAAUGCAAAAUCAACCAGCACAUCAGUGACUGUUUUUGGCUAAUUUCAAAGGAUAAACUGCGUCUGAGGGUAGUUGCAUUACCCGCCAAUUUACAAACAGUGAUCUGGACUCUAAAACCCAUACCAGGGCAUAUAACCAGAGCAUUAUACUGCUUUUCAACAUUCAGCGAUCCUGCCUUUAUUAUUUUUCUGGAGCACACCUACGCAGAGAGAGCAUUAUGCAAUUAUAGAUGCUUUGUUCCCGCACAAUCACGGCAAGCUAAAAUGCUCUUUGAUAGUCUCACACCCUUACUAAGAACAGUGGCCUACUCAGUUGCACAGAAAUAAAUGACCAAGACUAUCGGAUUCCUCAAAUGACUGCCUUUGAUGACUCUGCUGUUUGGGGUGUAACUCUGCUUGGUGAAGAGAAGCAGCACGACUUUCAUAGAGAUGACUCAAAAUUCAGAAGGCUGGUGCUUUAGCCACCCACAACUAUUUUCUGGACAAUUAUAAAUAUUUUAAUCCUGAUGCCAUGAUUAAUUGAGCAUCUGAUACAACAUCUGGAAGCCAUACUGCAUCCUAAGUGCCCACCAGCUUCGGUGCCUGUGGAGGGGACGGUAGGGUGUGCCAAGAAUCUCACCUGCUUGCUCUUGAACAGGACAGAGAAUUAACAUCAAAAUACAGAGGAGAAAGAUGAAGGCUGGAGGCUGGGGGGGUGGAGGGGUUGCUGUUUGUUUUCUUAGUAUGUUGAUAAAAUAUUUGCCAAGCAGGAGAUAUUGAACUCUACUGUAAGAAACUUCAAGCCAAACUCGGCUAACAAAACAUAAAAUUUGGCAUCAUUGCUAAGCAUAAAAAUAAGUAUUUCAUCUAAUAAAUAUAUGUUGGCUUACUGCUGCCUUUUAAUUUUGUCCUCCUGCCUUUCAUCAAUUUGUUAUUCAUUUGGGGCAUAGGCU
Canis lupus familiaris (dog) is the source of this 1137-nucleotide long non-coding RNA. RefSeq lists it as uncharacterized. The record is from RefSeq and is a predicted model, not a curated record. The transcript is spliced from 4 exons. Lineage: Eukaryota; Metazoa; Chordata; Mammalia; Carnivora; Canidae.